RNAcentral lists this transfer RNA (62 nucleotides) under Hemisphaerius rufovarius. Its description in RNAcentral is "tRNA-Asp". Lineage: Eukaryota; Metazoa; Arthropoda; Insecta; Hemiptera; Issidae. The record is from RNAcentral.
AAGAAGUUAGUUUAAUUUAACAAAACAUUUAUUUGUCAAAUAAAAACAACAAAAUAGAAUUG